AUGUUAGCUAUCAUUGGGAUUCAGGGCUAUGAUCAGAGUGAUUCCAUGUAUUACGUGAAGGAAGGUGGUGUAGGAAUGUCAGGGAUGCAACUAAUCAGGAGUGAUGAAGAUGUUGAAGAGAUGUUGGAGUUCUAUGAGGACAAGAUGUGUGUUACUAUCACUGUUAUGAAAGGUAGAGAGAUUGAGAGGGCAGAACUGCAGAUUAACAUUGGAGAUGAGCAGCAAAUUCCUAUUUCACAGAUAGGUUCACCUAAAAUAUAUAAUGUAGAUGAAGAAGGUGUGUUGUAUGCAAGUCAGACAAAUGAAAAAGCAGAACAUGCAGCAUGA
This 327-nucleotide ribosomal RNA is filed under the name Triticum aestivum (bread wheat). RNAcentral describes it as "partial small subunit ribosomal RNA". The record is from RNAcentral. Lineage: Eukaryota; Viridiplantae; Streptophyta; Magnoliopsida; Poales; Poaceae.